GACGCCCUGCAACGCUGCUGCCGCGGCCGGUCGGAUGCGCUUGCCCGGCACCCCUUCGCCACAAGAUGUUUCAGCUGGGGUUUUUUUUUCCCCCCCUCUCCGUAUCGCUGAGGAUCCUGCAUGUCCUUAAGGAUGAAAGGGUGCAAAACCGCGGUGACCUCCCACCGUUGGUCCUUUUGGAUGUCGUGGCUUCGGGCUGCAGAAAUUGCCGCGGGCAUCAGGCGCGUCUGCAGGCUGCCGCUCCAACGUGUGCCUUGGAGCGAAGACGGAGGAAGGGAGGAAGGCUCUCAGCUGCUUCGACCUGGCUCGCAAAUGGUCACCCAGGACCCGCCUGGGUUAAGAUUUUAUGCUGUUGAGCAAGACAAACCCUGCGGUUUUAUCACAUGCAUUGCAAUAUUUUGGGUGAGGGCCGGACCGUGUCGGGCUUCCGACAAGGCAGGGCUUUGUUCGCUGUGUGUUCCUGGAAGUUCCCCCUCCGGGAGGGAAUUCGCCCCAUGGGAGUCUCGGCUCCCCUUUAAAAAGUUGCGUUUCGAAGGUGGCCUACUCGCGGCGAAAAGCAAGGCAGAGAAAACGGGCCCGCGAGCGUCCUGCAGGCGCGGCGGCCAGCACCCUCACCACGCCAGCUGUAUUUAUUUUUUAAAUCCCGCGAUUAUAGAGCUGAUCCUGUGCUCUCCGAGGGCCUGGCUCACAUUAAACGCCGGUAAAGCAGCUCUUUUCCAGCUAACACCGGGGUGCCGGCAAAGAGACCAGCAGCUGGGGGCUGGCAAGACGCACGCAGGAAGGGGCUCAGCAGCGGACAGGGCACAGGAAACCGAAUUUUUGGCUUUUGGAGCAAAGCACCCAUUGGAAAGAAGCAGGGGAGGGUGCAGGAAACCGAAUUUUUGGCUUUUGGAGCAAAACUGCUAUUGGAAAGAAGCAGGGAUGGGUGCAGGAAACCGAAUUUUUGGAUUUUGGAGCAAAACUGCUAUUGUAAAGAAGUAGGGAUGGGUGCAGGAAACCGAAUUUUUGGCUUUUGGAGCAAAACUGCUAUUGGAAAGAAGCAGGGAUGGGUGCAGGAAACCGAAUUUUUGGCUUUUGGAGCAAAACUGCUAUUGGAAAGAAGCAGGGGAGGGUGCAGGAAACCGAAUU
Molecule: long non-coding RNA, 1128 nt
Filed under: Struthio camelus australis
Lineage: Eukaryota; Metazoa; Chordata; Aves; Struthioniformes; Struthionidae
Description: lncRNA (ENSSCUG00000009173.1)
Source: RNAcentral